RNAcentral lists this ribosomal RNA (465 nucleotides) under uncultured Klebsiella sp. RNAcentral describes it as "bacterial SSU rRNA". It matches the Rfam family "Bacterial small subunit ribosomal RNA", at positions 338 to 795 of the family's 1533-position model. Lineage: Bacteria; Pseudomonadati; Pseudomonadota; Gammaproteobacteria; Enterobacterales; Enterobacteriaceae. The record is from RNAcentral.
CCUACGGGUGGCAGCAGUGGGGAAUAUUGCACAAUGGGCGCAAGCCUGAUGCAGCCAUGCCGCGUGUGUGAAGAAGGCCUUCGGGUUGUAAAGCACUUUCAGCGGGGAGGAAGGCGGUGAGGUUAAUAACCUCAUCGAUUGACGUUACCCGCGGAAGAAGCACCGGCUAACUCCGUGCCAGCAGCCGCGGUAAUACGGAGGGUGCAAGCGUUAAUCGGAAUUACUGGGCGUAAAGCGCACGCAGGCGGUCUGUCAAGUCGGAUGCGAAAUCCCCGGGCUCAACCUGGGAACUGCAUUCGAAACUGGCAGGCUAAAGUCUUGUAGAGGGGGGUAGAAUUCCAGGUGUAGCGGUGAAAUGCGUAGAGAUCUGGAGGAAUACCGGUGGCGAAGGCGGCCCCCUGGACAAAGACUGACGCUCAGGUGCGAAAGCGUGGGGAGCAAACAGGAUUAGAUACCCGAGUAGUC